This 253-nucleotide ribosomal RNA is filed under the name uncultured bacterium. Its description in RNAcentral is "partial 16S ribosomal RNA". It matches the Rfam family "Bacterial small subunit ribosomal RNA", at positions 524 to 776 of the family's 1533-position model. The record is from RNAcentral.
UACGAGGGGGGCGAGCGUUGUUCGGAAUUAUUGGGCGUAAAGGGUGCGUAGGCGGUUUGGUAAGUCUGAUGUGAAAUCUAUGGGCUCAACUCAUAGUCUGCAUCAGAAACUGCCGGGCUUGAGUAUGGGAGAGGUGAGUGGAAUUCCUGGUGUAGCGGUGAAAUGCGUAGAUAUCAGGAGGAACACCUGUGGCGAAAGCGGCUCACUGGACCAUAACUGACGCUGAUGCACGAAAGCGAGGGGAGCAAACAGG